This 1820-nucleotide small RNA is filed under the name Rattus norvegicus (Norway rat). RNAcentral describes it as "uncharacterized LOC102554696". The record is from RNAcentral. Lineage: Eukaryota; Metazoa; Chordata; Mammalia; Rodentia; Muridae.
GCUUUAAAUUUCAAAGAGAUCUUCUAAUUCCUGUCAAUAAUGUGGCAGAAUGAUGGGUACUUAUUUGCUUUCAAAGAAUGGGUACAAGAGGGGCAUAAACACACACCUAACACUUGAGCCACGCCUGUGAUGCCAUGUCCUAUGCCACCCAUAUCACCAGCACAUCCCUCUGUCUCUGGUCUUCCAAGCAGAGAAGGGCCAGUGAGCUCAAACUUGGCUUCCUCCUUAUCUGGCCCUCAGGAGUAAAUGGGCCAUUUCCCUAGCACUGUCAGGACACAAGAUGGCAAGAAGUGCCUCCCCGCCUGCCAUUGUUUUACAUUUUCCCCAAAGGAAGAGCUGAUUUACUGCCUAUGCCCUCCAGUCAGGAGCUGUGGCUGCCCCAUGUGUCUGGCACAGCAUAGCAGAAGAGGAAAUGCCCACGCCACCUGAGGAAGUAGCUAACAAGGAAGUCUCACCACCCCUCAGAAUAUUGGGUGCCUCAAGAGACUGCAUAAGAGAAUCAGGGCUUGCCUGUGAAGAUUCUGUUGCAUCCUGAGGACACCAAAGACAAAAACCCACCAUAUAUCUUCCAAAUGUGGCUCCUGUGAAAGAGACAGGAAGCAGAACCAAGGAAAAUGUAGACAAGUAUGGGAGGGCGCAUCACAACCUUGACCUUGGUCACUACACUAUCCUACAUCAUCAGCCUCUUGCAGAUUCUAGAAACAUAAAAGUGGGUGCAUCUAGUUACUGAGUGUGCCCCAGUAGGCAAGUUCUUUGACCAUGAAUGACGGUCCCUUCAGGAGGGAGAUGCAAAGAAAACAUUCAGGCAGAAUCGCUUCCAUGCCUGCCAUUGCUUCACGUUGUCCCAAGAACAGAGGCAUUUACUGCCUGUGCCCUCCAUUUAGGAGCUGUGGCUGCCCCGUGCGUCUGCAGUUGGAUAUCAGAAGAGGAAAUGCUCAUGGCCACCUGAGACUCUUUAUAAGGAAAUCUCACCACCCCUGGAGAAUAUUGGGUGCUUCAAGAGACUGUGUAAGAGAAUCAGGACUUGCCUGUCAAGACUCUGUGGCUACACAAGGGCUCUAAAGACAAACACCCACCAUUUACCUUCAAAAUGUGGCGCCUCUCAAAGAGACAGGAAGCAGACCCAAAGAAAGUGUCAACAAGUAUGGGCUGGUCACUACCCCAUGCUACACCAUCAGCCUCUCCCAGGCUCUAGUAACAGCAAGUCGGGUCCAUCUUGUUGCUGAGUGUGCCCCAGGAGGACACUUCUCUGACCUGACAGUGGAGGAUGGCCUGCAGGAGGAGGGAGAGGCAAUGAAAACAAUCAGGCAGACAGUGUCAGCCUUGACAUUGUCCGUCGAGGCAGGAGACCCAGCUUUCCCUCGGACAUGCAGAAGAUGACGCCUCCGUCCUACAGGAGCUGGUGCAUGUGGGGUCAGGAAGGACAUAGCUCUCUGACGAUGAGGGCAGGUGGUCAUUACUGCAGAGGAUCACAUCUCAAUACCAAUGCUGAUCUGGAAACAGAGUAAAACCCUCCUCCCUGAGCAAGGUAUGCAGGAAUAUGUGAGGCUGUUGUUCACAGGAACAAAUGUCCAGGUGGAAUAUAAUGUGAUGGUGUGGUGCCCGGCAGAGGGACAAAGAUCAAGGCUCUAAUGGGCCACCUCAGCAUCUCCCUGCGGUCGAGAAGAACACCCAGUGCUGAGCUGCUUGUUUGCUGUAUCAGUGUGGAGCGUCUGCCAAGAAUGGACAUCAGCAUCUGUAGACAAGAGAGAGACCAGAUUCCUACACGUUUGUUCUGCAUGCCUACCCAGUAAGACAACAGUCAAGCCAUUAAUGUAGUG